RNAcentral lists this ribosomal RNA (539 nucleotides) under uncultured bacterium. RNAcentral describes it as "bacterial SSU rRNA". It matches the Rfam family "Bacterial small subunit ribosomal RNA", at positions 355 to 895 of the family's 1533-position model. The record is from RNAcentral.
UGAGGAAUAUUGGUCAAUGGACGGAAGUCUGAACCAGCCAAGUAGCGUGCAGGAUGACGGCCCUAUGGGUUGUAAACUGCUUUUGUAUGGGGAUAAAGUUAGGGACGUGUCCCUAUUUGCAGGUACCAUAUGAAUAAGGACCGGCUAAUUCCGUGCCAGCAGCCGCGGUAAUACGGAAGGUUCAGGCGUUAUCCGGAUUUAUUGGGUUUAAAGGGAGCGUAGGCUGGAGAUUAAGUGUGUUGUGAAAUGUAGACGCUCAACGUCUGACUUGCAGCGCAUACUGGUUUCCUUGAGUACGCACAACGUUGGCGGAAUUCGUCGUGUAGCGGUGAAAUGCUUAGAUAUGACGAAGAACUCCGAUUGCGAAGGCAGCUGACGGGAGCGCAACUGACGCUUAAGCUCGAAGGUGCGGGUAUCAAACAGGAUUAGAUACCCUGGUAGUCCGCACAGUAAACGAUGGAUGCCCGCUGUUGGUACCUGGUAUCAGCGGCUAAGCGAAAGCAUUAAGCAUCCCACCUGGGGAGUACGCCGGCAACGGU